Molecule: long non-coding RNA, 4613 nt
Filed under: Homo sapiens (human)
Lineage: Eukaryota; Metazoa; Chordata; Mammalia; Primates; Hominidae
Description: HSALNT0024095
Source: RNAcentral
GCCAGCUGUGUCUGAGGAAGCUCUCCUCGGUGGGCUGCUUCUUCCCCUGUCCUCUCGCUCACAUUUCCUGGGUGGGAGCAGUUCCAGGCAGAAAGGACAACACGGGGAGGAGGACACCUUCUGGGGGCCUCUCACAGCCCUUCCAAUCCCUCUCCAGGGCCUGGGAAAGAGCCUGUUUACAGACUGGUGCUGGCUCUUCCCUCACCUGUGCGCCCCGCCCAUUCCCAAAGAGCAGGGCAGUCAGUUGGCUGGUGGCCGGAAAGGCUUCGGAACACGCAGGACAGACGUCUCCUUAGCCCGCUGCAGCCCUCUCCCGCCUCUACCAACUGCGGGCAGCACCUUUGGUCGGCCUGGGGGUGAGGCACAGAGCUCCACACCCAGGCAACUCAAGUGUGUGUGUGGUAAGGGGACACUGGGAGCGGCUGGACGACCCCCUCCUGCCGAACAGACAAGAGCCCCAGGACAAACUGGGAUGGAGCCAGGUCCUGACUGCAGCCUCUGGCCACCACCUCUCUGAGAAGCCCUUUAAAAGGACCAGCGCCUGCGGAGGGGAGACCCUGAGAACUUAAGCCUCAGCGUUGCACAAGUUUAAAAAGGGAAGUGCUUGACUUUGGAUUGAGAGUUGACUCUUCAGUGUGCGGAAGUCCUGAAUUAUUUCACAGGGAGAGUUAGAAAAAGCAAAGCUUCCCAAGGCUGCCAUUCACUUCUUGAGUCUAGAGGCACAUUAUCUUGUCUGGCCCCGUGGACAGCUAUUUUUUUGCGGGGUGGAGUGGGGGGUGGUUCAAACACCACAGAAGCAAAACAGCCACAAGAAAACAAAGGCUUGAAGAGAUUUCUGCUCCCACCCCACCGCCUCAGUCUGGAGAUCCAAACUCACCUCGGUAGCAGGAAAGCUCCUUUUCUGCCCAGCUCCCAGGUUCUUGCUUCAGCUGCAGAUCUGACAUUUGCCUCUGCAGGCACCAGCUUCACUGCUGGCACUCAGACACAGCUGUAAGCUACUGGCCGAUGGUGCUCAUUAAAAAGCUAUGACAUAUACCUAUUGCAUCACUUGCCAGCACAAUCCCUGAGUGACCACUGAGUCCGGAGGGGCAUUUAUCCCAUGACAGUGCAUCAUCAGAGGUGCCCUGCUAUCAUCCCUGCAGGUAGGACACACAGGGCUCAUGCAGCCCCAGAACUCCCAGGGCCUUGUGUUCAUCUCCUUUACAGAUGCCCAGCCAUCAGUGUGGGUCCCAGCCUCAAGGAUCAGUUGAGAUUCAAGGUGGGUUUUGUUAUUAUUGUUGGUUAGAUCUUUGCCCAGAAUUUCAGAACCUUCAAUGCUACCUGGUUUCCUGUCUCAAAGUUAAAACUUCAUUGUAUUAUGUCAUUCAAGUCCCCACAAGGGUAGCUCUGUGGAGUGGUACAGGGGAGAGUGAAACUCAAGCAAUAGGGUUUCCUAGCUCAGCACCUACCAGAUGUUUCUGGUGACAUCCACCUGCAACCCCCAGCUCUCUGGCAGAAGUGGCUCCUAGGAGUUGCUCUUGUUGGAUUCUUAUUAAUUGCCCUCUUGAACAGCUGUAAUGAAUGGAAUGGCUCUGAUCUCCAAAAGGCCAGGGCUUCUCAGGGUUGCUUCCUCACCACUACAGCCAAGGAAAAGGUAUAUAGGGUCCCUGCAGAGCCCUCUAGUGGUACCCCUCCACAUUAUACGCCUCUUACAGGAAACGUUCCAAGACUCCUAGUGAUGACACUACAAUAAGCCAAUAAGCCACUUCCUUCUUUGGAAUAAGCUUACAGCAAAAGAAUUACAUGUUGUAUAUUAAAGAGGAUCUUUUUACUACAAAAUAAUACUUCUAUGUGUUUCAUCAAGUUCAUCAAUAAAAUUUAUUAUAUAUAGUAACUAAAACAAAUAUCACAUAAUAAUUGCACACGUUUUUAAGCACAUGCUAUGUAUUAUUUAUGUUAACUGUUUUACAUAAAUAAUUUCAUUUCCUACUCUCAAAAGCUCUGUAAGAUUGUUGUUAUCUCGUUUCAUAGAUGGGGAAACUGAGGCUGAGAGGAUAAUGUCGCAGGUCACAGACUGAGUAACUGGCCAAGCGGGGAUUUAAAUCCAAGUGUGAACUAUUCAAAAGCCUGAACUUAUAACCAGUACGUUAUUCUCUUACAUGUUGGAGAGAUAAAAUGCAAAAAUUCCUCAUAGCUAUUCCAAGUCAGCUGAGAGAUACGUGUCAAGUUUGAAUGUGGUUUUGAUAUAUGAUACAUGACUUCACCGUGCCUGAGCAUCUGUACACUCCUGGGGAAACUGGUUUAUACUUGUGCUGAUGUGGAUGUCCUCCAGCACUUCACAUUGGCCUCUACACACGUGUUCUACUAGGCAAGUCACAAUGACAAGUUGUACUAGUCUGUUUUCACCCUGCUGAUAAAGACAUACCUGAGACUGGGAAGAAAAAGAGGUUUAAUGGACUUAUAUUUCCACGUGGCUGGGGAGGCCUCACAAUCAUGGUGGAAGGCAAGGAGGAGCAAGCCACGUCUUACAUGGAUGGCAGCAGGCAAAGAGAGUGCUUGUGCAGGGAAACUCCCCCUUAUAGAAUCAUCAGAUCUCAUGAAACUUAUUCACUAUCAUGAGAGCAGCAUGGGAAAGGCCUGCCCCCAUGAUUCAAUUACCUCCCAGUGGGUCCCUCCCACAACAUAUGGGAAUUCAAGAUGAGAUUUGGGUGGGGACACUGCCAAACCAUAUCAUUCUACCCCUGGCACCUCCCAAAUCUCAUAUCCUCAUAUUUCAAAACCAAUCUUGCCUUCCCAUCUAUCCCCCAAAGUCUUAAUUCAUUUCAGCAUUAACUCAAAAGUCCACAGUCCAAAGCCUCAUUUGAGACAAGGGAAGUCCCUUCCACCUAUGAGCCUGUAAAAUCAAAAGCAAGUUAGUUACUUCCUGGAUAAAUGGGGGUACAGGCAUUGGGUAAAUACAGCUGUUCAAAAUGGGAGGAACUGGCCAAAACGAAGUGGCUACAGGCCUCAUGCAAGUCCAAAAUCUAGCAGGGCAGUUGAAUCUUAAAGCUUUGAAAUGCUCUCCUUUGACUCCAUGUCUCACAUCUGGGUCACACCAAUGUAAGGGGGGGGUUCCCAUGUUCUUGGGCAGCUCUGCCUCUGUGGCCUUGCAGGGUACAGCCUCCCUCCCAGCUGCUUUCAUGGGCUGGCAUUGAGUGUCUGUGGCUUUUCCAGGCACAGAGUGCAAGCUGUCUGUGGAUCUACCAUUCUGGGGUCUGGAGGACAGUGGCCCUCUUCUCAUAGCUCCACUAGGCAGUGCCCCAGUAGGGACUGUGUGUGUGGGCUCUGACCCCAAAUUUUGCUUUUGCACUGACCUAGUAGAGGUUCUCCAUGAGGGUGCCACCCCUGCAGCAAACUUCUGUCUGGGCAUCCAGGUGUUUUCAUAAUCCUCUGAAAUCUAGGUAAAGGUUCCCAAACCCCAAUCCUUGACUUCUCUGCACUUGCAGGCUCAACACCACAUGGAAAUUGCCAAGGCUUGGGGUUUACACCUCCUGAAGCAACAGCCCAAGCUCUAUGUUGGCCCCUUUCAGCUACUGCUGGAGCAGCUCGGAUGCAGGGCACAAAGUCCCUAGGCUGCACACAGAAUGGGGACCCUGGGCCUGGCCCAGGAAACCAUCUUUUCCUCCUAGGCUUCCGGGCCUGUGAUGGAAGGGGCUGUUGUGAAGACCUCUGUCACGUCCCAGAGACAUUUUCCCCAUUGUCUUGGUGAUUAACAUUCAGCUCCUUGUUAUUUAUGCAAAUUUCUGCAGUUGGCUUGAAUUUCUCCCCGGAAAAUGGGAUUUUCCUUUCUAUUGCAUUGAGGCUACAAAUUUUCUAUUGCAUCAGGCUGCACAUUUUCCAAACUUUUAUGCUCUGCUUCCCUUUUCAAACUGAAUGCCUUUAACAGCACCCAAGUCACCUGUUGAAUGCUUUGCUGCUUAGAAAUUUCUUCUGCCAGAUAACCUAAAUCAUCUCUCUCAAGUUCAGUUUCACAAAUCUCUAGGGCAGGGGCAAAAUGCCAAGAGUCACCUUUGCUCCAGUUCCCAACAAGUUCCUAAUCUCCAUCUGAGACCACCUCAGCUUGGACUUUUUUGUCCAUAUUGCUAUCAGCAUUUUGGGCAAAGCCAUUCAACAAGUCUCUAGGAAGUUCCAAACUUUCCCACAUUUUCUUAUCUUCUUCUGAGCCCUCCAAACUGUCCCAAUCUCUGCCUAUUGCUCAGUUUCAAAGUCACUUCCAUAUUCUCGGGUAUCUUUUCAGCAAUGCCUCACUUUACUGGUACCAAUUUACUAUAUUAGCCCAUCUUCAUGCUGCUGAUAAAGACAUACCCAAGACUGGGAAGAAAAAGAGGUUUAAUGGACUUAUAUUUCCAUGUAGCUGGGGAGGCCUCACAAUCAUGCUGGAAGGCAAGGAGGAGCAAGUCAUGUCUUACGUGGAUGGCAGCAGGCAAAGAGAGAGCUUGUGCAGGGAAACUCUCCAUUAUAGAACCAUCGUUUCUCAUGAGACUUACUCACUCUCAUGAGAACAGCAUGGGAAAGACCUGCCCCCAUGAUUCAAUUACCUCCCAGUGGGUCCCUCCCACAACAUAUGGAAAUUCAAGAUGAGAUUUGGGUGGGGA